This 889-nucleotide ribosomal RNA is filed under the name Hispo sp. UBC SEM W.Maddison d309. RNAcentral describes it as "eukaryotic LSU rRNA". It matches the Rfam family "Eukaryotic large subunit ribosomal RNA", at positions 193 to 806 of the family's 3401-position model. Lineage: Eukaryota; Metazoa; Arthropoda; Arachnida; Araneae; Salticidae. The record is from RNAcentral.
GACCGGGGCCUAUCCAGAGCGGGUGCGAGACCCAUAGCCGCCCGCUUCUGCUCGGAUGCGAUCUCCUUGGAGUCGGGUUGCUUGGGAGUGCAGCCCUAAUCGCGUGGUAAACUCCACGUAAGGCUAAAUACCGCCGUGAGACCGAUAGCAAACAAGUACCGUGAGGGAAAGUUGCAAAGAACUUUGAAGAGAGAGUUCAAGAGUACGUGAAACUGCUCAGAGGUAAACGGGUGGGCCCUCGAAAUCCUGUGGCGAGAGGAUUCAGUCUGGCGUCGCGAACGCGCGGGCGGAAGAACCGAGCAGGGCCUCCUUUUAACAAGGGCCGUCCGCUCGCGUGUCUUUCGCGGUGCCAGACGCAUUUGUCUCUCGUCCGAAGGGCGCUGCAGCCGGUUGGGCAGAGCAAACACGACGGCCUGAAGGUCGGGAACUGGCAGGUGGCCGGUGGCGCGCCUCGGUGCGUCGCCGGUUGUUAGCCGUCUCGGCAGUGGCUCGUCGCCCGACCGAGGUGUUUCCGCGGGGCUUCGGCCUCGCGGCCUUGACGUCUCCGACUUUUUGUCGCGGAGCAGACCGGCGCAGGCGACUUCCGCUGUUUCGCCACACGGCCACGCCGUGGGAGGACAGAACCGGAGGGCGUCGUUGGUGUCGGCACAUCCGCGGGAGACAUGAGGUUGGCAGCGAGUAGGUCGGUCACCCACCCGACCCGUCUUGAAACACGGACCAAGGAGUCUAACAUGUGCGCGAGUCAAUGGGUCUUGAAUAGGCCCAGGGGCGCAAUGAAAGCAAAGGUCGGCUCCGGCCGACCGAGUCGGGAUCCCCCUCCCCGCGGGGUGGGGGCGCAGCGACGACCCGCCCUAUCCGGCUCGCCGGUUGGGCGGAGUUUGAGCGUACA